This 90-nucleotide transfer RNA is filed under the name Geobacter sp. RNAcentral's name for it is "tRNA-Ser". It matches the Rfam family "tRNA". From Rfam's summary of the family: Transfer RNA (tRNA) molecules are approximately 80 nucleotides in length. Their secondary structure includes four short double-helical elements and three loops (D, anti-codon, and T loops). Further hydrogen bonds mediate the characteristic L-shaped molecular structure. tRNAs have two regions of fundamental functional importance: the anti-codon, which is responsible for specific mRNA codon recognition, and the 3' end, to which the tRNAs corresponding amino acid is attached (by aminoacyl-tRNA synthetases). tRNAs cope with the degeneracy of the genetic code in two manners: having more than one tRNA (with a specific anti-codon) for a particular amino acid; and 'wobble' base-pairing, i.e. permitting non-standard base-pairing at the 3rd anti-codon position. Lineage: Bacteria; Pseudomonadati; Thermodesulfobacteriota; Desulfuromonadia; Geobacterales; Geobacteraceae. The record is from RNAcentral. RNAcentral also lists the same sequence under 2 other names.
GGAGAGAUGGCCGAGUGGUCGAAGGCGCUUGACUCGAAAUCAAGUGUGGGGGUGACUCCACCUAGGGUUCGAAUCCCUAUCUCUCCGCCA